RNAcentral lists this ribosomal RNA (1540 nucleotides) under Staphylococcus aureus. RNAcentral describes it as "16S ribosomal RNA". It matches the Rfam family "Bacterial small subunit ribosomal RNA". Lineage: Bacteria; Bacillati; Bacillota; Bacilli; Caryophanales; Staphylococcaceae. RNAcentral also lists the same sequence under 4 other names. The record is from RNAcentral.
AGAGUUUGAUCCUGGCUCAGGAUGAACGCUGGCGGCGUGCCUAAUACAUGCAAGUCGAGCGAACGGACGAGAAGCUUGCUUCUCUGAUGUUAGCGGCGGACGGGUGAGUAACACGUGGAUAACCUACCUAUAAGACUGGGAUAACUUCGGGAAACCGGAGCUAAUACCGGAUAAUAUUUUGAACCGCAUGGUUCAAAAGUGAAAGACGGUCUUGCUGUCACUUAUAGAUGGAUCCGCGCUGCAUUAGCUAGUUGGUAAGGUAACGGCUUACCAAGGCAACGAUGCAUAGCCGACCUGAGAGGGUGAUCGGCCACACUGGAACUGAGACACGGUCCAGACUCCUACGGGAGGCAGCAGUAGGGAAUCUUCCGCAAUGGGCGAAAGCCUGACGGAGCAACGCCGCGUGAGUGAUGAAGGUCUUCGGAUCGUAAAACUCUGUUAUUAGGGAAGAACAUAUGUGUAAGUAACUGUGCACAUCUUGACGGUACCUAAUCAGAAAGCCACGGCUAACUACGUGCCAGCAGCCGCGGUAAUACGUAGGUGGCAAGCGUUAUCCGGAAUUAUUGGGCGUAAAGCGCGCGUAGGCGGUUUUUUAAGUCUGAUGUGAAAGCCCACGGCUCAACCGUGGAGGGUCAUUGGAAACUGGAAAACUUGAGUGCAGAAGAGGAAAGUGGAAUUCCAUGUGUAGCGGUGAAAUGCGCAGAGAUAUGGAGGAACACCAGUGGCGAAGGCGACUUUCUGGUCUGUAACUGACGCUGAUGUGCGAAAGCGUGGGGAUCAAACAGGAUUAGAUACCCUGGUAGUCCACGCCGUAAACGAUGAGUGCUAAGUGUUAGGGGGUUUCCGCCCCUUAGUGCUGCAGCUAACGCAUUAAGCACUCCGCCUGGGGAGUACGACCGCAAGGUUGAAACUCAAAGGAAUUGACGGGGACCCGCACAAGCGGUGGAGCAUGUGGUUUAAUUCGAAGCAACGCGAAGAACCUUACCAAAUCUUGACAUCCUUUGACAACUCUAGAGAUAGAGCCUUCCCCUUCGGGGGACAAAGUGACAGGUGGUGCAUGGUUGUCGUCAGCUCGUGUCGUGAGAUGUUGGGUUAAGUCCCGCAACGAGCGCAACCCUUAAGCUUAGUUGCCAUCAUUAAGUUGGGCACUCUAAGUUGACUGCCGGUGACAAACCGGAGGAAGGUGGGGAUGACGUCAAAUCAUCAUGCCCCUUAUGAUUUGGGCUACACACGUGCUACAAUGGACAAUACAAAGGGCAGCGAAACCGCGAGGUCAAGCAAAUCCCAUAAAGUUGUUCUCAGUUCGGAUUGUAGUCUGCAACUCGACUACAUGAAGCUGGAAUCGCUAGUAAUCGUAGAUCAGCAUGCUACGGUGAAUACGUUCCCGGGUCUUGUACACACCGCCCGUCACACCACGAGAGUUUGUAACACCCGAAGCCGGUGGAGUAACCUUUUAGGAGCUAGCCGUCGAAGGUGGGACAAAUGAUUGGGGUGAAGUCGUAACAAGGUAGCCGUAUCGGAAGGUGCGGCUGGGUCACCU